RNAcentral lists this ribosomal RNA (552 nucleotides) under Trichobilharzia franki. RNAcentral describes it as "partial 28S ribosomal RNA". Lineage: Eukaryota; Metazoa; Platyhelminthes; Trematoda; Strigeidida; Schistosomatidae. The record is from RNAcentral.
GAGAGUAAACAGUGCGUGAAACCGCUCAGAGGUAAACGGGUGGAGUUGAACUGCGAUCCUUGGGAAUUCAGCUGAUGAGCAUGAUUUGUGCUUGGGCAUAUUGACCGCCUUUCAGUGUCUGCUUAGCUGCGGGUGCCUGCCUCUGGUGGGUAUGUGUGGUGCGCUUAUCAUGUGCCGCACGCAUUGGAGGGUGUAUGAGUCUGCUUGUCGGUGCACUUUCUCAGGGUGUUCACCACGACCGGCACUGCUGUCUGUCUGCUUUGGUCAAACUGAUCAGGUCUGAUUAACGUUGGGCUUGGUUGGGUUGGCAGGUGACUCACUGGUCCAUUCUGUGGGCUAUGAGUGUUACUAGCCGGCCUUAGUGGAUCUGUACGGUGUGUCGGAGACGGCGGCUUUGCAUAUGCGCUCUGUCCUUCAGGCGUGGUUGAGUCUGGUCGACUUGUUGCUAGUUUCGGCUGGUCAGUUGAUGGCUUGAUCAUGUUCAGUUGGCAGUGGUGUGUGUGUCUUAGUUUGGGCCAAUAGUCUGUGGUGUUGUGGUAGACUAUCCACCUG